This is a non-coding RNA of Populus trichocarpa (black cottonwood), 156 nucleotides long. The record is from Rfam. NCBI's taxonomy places the organism in Eukaryota, Viridiplantae, Streptophyta, Magnoliopsida, Malpighiales, Salicaceae.
UUUAGAACUCGAGAUAUGAGCUGAACACUGAACAAUGUCUGGGCUACAUGACAAAUUCAGAUUUCUCUCUUGUUGCUAAGAUUUGAUCUUCAAAACGACAGAACUGAGUCUUGGACUCCUCAUGAAUGUUUUAGGCUUAUGUCUUAGCUUUCUAGC